AGAUACAAUCAUUCCAGCACUACGGGACCGAAUCCCAUCAGAACUCUAUAAUGACGAGAGUAGUACUAGGAGGUGACCUCCCGGGAAGUCCUCGUGUUGCAUUUA
This is a non-coding RNA of Arabidopsis thaliana (thale cress), 105 nucleotides long. The record is from Rfam. Lineage: Eukaryota; Viridiplantae; Streptophyta; Magnoliopsida; Brassicales; Brassicaceae.